ACGUAGGGUGCGAGCGUUAAUCGGAAUUACUGGGCGUAAAGCGUGCGCAGGCGGUUUUGUAAGUCAGAUGUGAAAUCCCCGGGCUCAACCUGGGAACUGCGUUUGAAACUGCAAGGCUAGAGUAUGGGAGAGGGAGGUAGAAUUCCACGUGUAGCAGUGAAAUGCGUAGAGAUGUGGAGGAAUACCAAUGGCGAAGGCAGCCUCCUGGCCCAAUACUGACGCUCAUGCACGAAAGCGUGGGGAGCAAACAGGA
This 253-nucleotide ribosomal RNA is filed under the name uncultured prokaryote. RNAcentral's name for it is "partial 16S ribosomal RNA". It matches the Rfam family "Bacterial small subunit ribosomal RNA", at positions 525 to 777 of the family's 1533-position model. The record is from RNAcentral.